UCUUCCCCCCUCCAUGCCUUCCUCCCUCCCUCCCCCCCCACUCUGUUACCCAUACCCGCCUGAACGCCAUCUUCCCUCCACCUUCUCCGUGCAAUCAAUCGCCUUGCUAGUUACUCCCGCCGGCCGAUCACCUUCCGGGAACCGUUGGAGGUACGGACGUUGAACUUCCGUACUUUGACAGGCUCUUGGGGGACGUAGCUUACUUUCCAAAUUGUCCGAGUGAUAAGCUGCUCUCCCAGAAAUCUCCGGUUGCUAGGACUUGAAAAAAUGACUUAAGCUUUGGAUCACGCACUUCCGUUCUAUCGGGCAGUACAAGCAGCAACAUGUCUUUUCAUAAUAAGGAUUCCUGGAGGUCAAAGGUCUCUGAACAUGCAAUUGAGAGAAACCCGGCACUUGAUGAUAAUCCUUCCAGGAUUGACCCAAAGAGGCCUCAUGAGUGGUUCAUAGAGUCACUUGAACCGGAGCUCUUUGCAAGCAAAAAACAAGCAUUGCAACCUCCAUACGGCCAGGUGACCGCUGGAAUUACACAUGCCAAUGUUUCUCAAUGGGAAAGCACUGCCAGUUUUCAAUCAGUCCCGACCCAGUUUAUAGACAGGUCGUUUGGGUCCGAAACAGAAAGGCCUGUCAAUUUCGGCAAUGACGGCUCCCUUAUGAGGACAGAGGGCCUUGUGGACCAUUUUGAGGAUGACAUAUCUGUCAAUCUUUCGAUAUCUCACUCCACAGAGGAUCCUGAAACUGGCCUAAGCUACAAUGGCACUCAAAAAAUCAAAGGAGGUUGCAUUAAGGAUUCUCACAGUGGAGCACGUGCUCAAAAGCUAAGUGGCUUUCAUGGGGGAAAUGGGACAGACUUUUUUCCCGCGGGGCAAACCUACAAUAAGGAGAUUCAGAAUGUCCCUUUAAUGGGUCAUGUAUAUGAGGAUCAUUCUCAAAUCAGAUCAAUGGACUCCGCUUAUGAGAAGGGAGCUAACAUGAUAACCAUUGCAGAUUCUUAUGGUAAAGGAGAUAGUAGUAUGCUUUCUUUUGGUGGCUUCAGCAGCGAUCACUGUGUCAUGCCAAUAGCCCAACGAGAUGGUAGUUUUGACAAAUUAUAUGAUCAGUCUUCAGCUCAAAUGACAGAAACUCGUCAACAGAAGCAAGUAGAUCUUUCAAAUGUCGGCUUGAACCAGGAAAACAAAUCAUUGAGCGAUUCGGUCCCAAAGAAUAAGCCAGGGAGCAAUAAACCAUCUCGAAAAGAAGCUCCAAACAGCUUCCCUUCAAACGUCAGGAGCCUGAUAUCUACUGGUAUGCUUGAUGGAGUUGCCAUAAAGUAUGUUGCUGUAUCAAGGGAGGAGCUCCAUGGAAUCAUUAAAGGUUCGGGCUACCUUUGUGGCUGUCAUUCAUGUAAUUAUACGAAGAUUCUUAAUGCCUACGAGUUUGAGCGGCAUGCCGGUGCCAAGACAAAACACCCCAACAAUCACAUAUAUUUUGAAAAUGGAAAGACUAUAUAUCAGAUAGUCCAAGAAUUGAGGAGUACACCCGUGAGCCUGUUGUUUGAUGCAAUUCAAACUGUAUUUGGUGCUCCAAUUAACCAGAAGUCUUUUCGCAUUUGGAAAGAGUCCUUUCAAGCAGCUACUCAUGAGCUUCAGCGUAUCUAUAGCAAGGAUGAGUUUAGCUAAUGAGAGACUCAGUUAAUGGGCAGACCAUCUAAGAGCACUAACAUAUAUGUCGUGUAGCUCUGCCUCUUUGCAUAGAUCUCACCUCAUACCGGACCCUUUUUAAUGUAGACAUGUGCAGGCAGGAUGCAAUGUGAAGGCGAAAGGAAAGGGAGUACUUUUAUAAUUAUGAUGAAUGAUUGAGAUGGCACCAGCAUCCUUGCCAAAUCAUAGGCUCCACGGGAUGGUCUCAUCAGGCAUCGGAGUUAGGCAUCCUGGUUCUACUUGUACGACAUGGUGGAGGAUGGACUAGCUAGGCUCGCUCCGGAGGAGUAUAGACAUUUUGUAUUUUGGAUCACCUUCCUAUUUAUUUAGUAUUGUUCUAGCUGAUUAGGCCAGGGCUUCUUAUCAAGGUGAUUAAUAUUCUGUACUCUUCCUUGAGUUUCACGCGAGAAUUUUAUUUUAUUUUUGGGUAUAAACCCCGAAGGGAUAAAAUUUUUACAAACGUGGA
Non-coding RNA from Punica granatum (pomegranate), 2142 nucleotides. NCBI's taxonomy places the organism in Eukaryota, Viridiplantae, Streptophyta, Magnoliopsida, Myrtales, Lythraceae. The record is from RefSeq and is a predicted model, not a curated record.